UGCGUAGGGACCGAGCGUUGUCCGGAAUCAUUGGGCGUAAAGAGCGUGUAGGCGGCCACUUAAGUCCUGCGUGAAAUCUUGCGGCUCAACCGCAAGCGGUCGUGGGAAACUGGGUGGCUAGAGUGCGGGAGAGGAGAGCGGAAUUCCUGGUGUAGCGGUGAAAUGCGCAGAUAUCAGGAGGAACACCGGUGGCGAAGGCGGAUCUCUGGGCCUUACCUGACGCUGAGGAGCGAAAGCAUGGGGAGCAAACAGG
Molecule: ribosomal RNA, 253 nt
Filed under: uncultured bacterium
Lineage: Bacteria
Description: partial 16S ribosomal RNA
Rfam family: Bacterial small subunit ribosomal RNA
Source: RNAcentral